This 1356-nucleotide ribosomal RNA is filed under the name human gut metagenome. RNAcentral describes it as "bacterial LSU rRNA". It matches the Rfam family "Bacterial large subunit ribosomal RNA", at positions 1593 to 2925 of the family's 2925-position model. The record is from RNAcentral.
ACAAAUGCCCUGCUUCCAGGAAAAGCCUCUAAGCAUCAGGUAACAUCAAAUCGUACCCCAAACCGACACAGGUGGUCAGGUAGAGAAUACCAAGGCGCUUGAGAGAACUCGGGUGAAGGAACUAGGCAAAAUGGUGCCGUAACUUCGGGAGAAGGCACGCUGAUAUGUAGGUGAAGCGACUUGCUCGUGGAGCUGAAAUCAGUCGAAGAUACCAGCUGGCUGCAACUGUUUAUUAAAAACACAGCACUGUGCAAACACGAAAGUGGACGUAUACGGUGUGACGCCUGCCCGGUGCCGGAAGGUUAAUUGAUGGGGUUAGCGGUAACGCGAAGCUCUUGAUCGAAGCCCCGGUAAACGGCGGCCGUAACUAUAACGGUCCUAAGGUAGCGAAAUUCCUUGUCGGGUAAGUUCCGACCUGCACGAAUGGCGUAAUGAUGGCCAGGCUGUCUCCACCCGAGACUCAGUGAAAUUGAACUCGCUGUGAAGAUGCAGUGUACCCGCGGCAAGACGGAAAGACCCCGUGAACCUUUACUAUAGCUUGACACUGAACAUUGAGCCUUGAUGUGUAGGAUAGGUGGGAGGCUUUGAAGUGUGGACGCCAGUCUGCAUGGAGCCGACCUUGAAAUACCACCCUUUAAUGUUUGAUGUUCUAACGUGGGCCCCUUACCGGGGUUGCGGACAGUGUCUGGUGGGUAGUUUGACUGGGGCGGUCUCCUCCUAAAGAGUAACGGAGGAGCACGAAGGUUGGCUAAUCCUGGUCGGACAUCAGGAGGUUAGUGCAAUGGCAUAAGCCAGCUUGACUGCGAGCGUGACGGCGCGAGCAGGUGCGAAAGCAGGUCAUAGUGAUCCGGUGGUUCUGAAUGGAAGGGCCAUCGCUCAACGGAUAAAAGGUACUCCGGGGAUAACAGGCUGAUACCGCCCAAGAGUUCAUAUCGACGGCGGUGUUUGGCACCUCGAUGUCGGCUCAUCACAUCCUGGGGCUGAAGUAGGUCCCAAGGGUAUGGCUGUUCGCCAUUUAAAGUGGUACGCGAGCUGGGUUUAGAACGUCGUGAGACAGUUCGGUCCCUAUCUGCCGUGGGCGCUGGAGAACUGAGGGGGGCUGCUCCUAGUACGAGAGGACCGGAGUGGACGCAUCACUGGUGUUCGGGUUGUCAUGCCAAUGGCACUGCCCGGUAGCUAAAUGCGGAAGAGAUAAGUGCUGAAAGCAUCUAAGCACGAAACUUGCCCCGAGAUGAGUUCUCCCUGAGACUUAGAGUCUCCUGAAGGAACGUUGAAGACGACGACGUUGAUAGGCCGGGUGUGUAAGCGCAGCGAUGCGUUGAGCUAACCGGUACUAAUGAACCGUGAGGCUUAACC